This 503-nucleotide ribosomal RNA is filed under the name uncultured bacterium. RNAcentral's name for it is "partial 16S ribosomal RNA". It matches the Rfam family "Bacterial small subunit ribosomal RNA", at positions 30 to 523 of the family's 1533-position model. The record is from RNAcentral.
AUUGAACGCUGGCGGCAGGCUUAACACAUGCAAGUCGAGCGGGGUGAUGGUGCUUGCACUAUCACUUAGCGGCGGAAGGGUGAGUAAUGCUUAGGAAUAUGCCUAUUAGCGGGGGACUACAUCUCGAAAGGGAUGCUAAUACCGCAUACGUCCUACGGGAGAAAGCAGGGGAUCACUUGUGAACUAGCGCUAAUUGAUGAGCCUAGGUCGGAUUAGCUAGUUGGGGGGGUAAAGGCCUACCAAGGCGACGAUCUGUAGCGGGUCUGAGAGGAUGCUCCGCCACACUGGGACUGAGACACGGCCCAGACUCCUACGGGAGGCAGCAGUGGGGAAUAUUGGACAAUGGGGGGAACCCUGAUCCAGCCAUGCCGCGUGUGUGAAGAAGGCCUUAUGGUUGUAAAGCACUUUAAGCGAGGAGGAGGCUCUUUUGGUUAAUACCCAAGAUGAGUGGACGUUACUCGCAGAAUAAGCACCGGCUAACUCUGUGCCAGCAGCCGCAGUAA